RNAcentral lists this ribosomal RNA (197 nucleotides) under uncultured bacterium. RNAcentral's name for it is "partial 16S ribosomal RNA". It matches the Rfam family "Bacterial small subunit ribosomal RNA", at positions 1305 to 1500 of the family's 1533-position model. The record is from RNAcentral.
CUGCAACUCGACNGCAUGAAGUCGGAAUCGCUAGUAAUACGCGGAUCAGCAUGCCGCGGUGAAUACGUUCCCGGGUCUUGUACACACCGCCCGUCACACCAUGGGAGUUGGGAAUGCCCGAAGUCAGUGACCCAACCGCAAGGAGGGAGCUGCCGAAGGCAGGCUUGAUAACUGGGGUGAAGUCGUAACAAGGUAGC